CCUACGGGAGGCAGCAGUGGGGGAUAUUACACAAUGGGGGAAACCCUGAUGCAGCGACGCCGCGUGUGGGAAGACGGUCCUCUGGAUUGUAAACCACUGUCCCCAGGGACGAAGAUGACGGUACCUGGGGAGGAAGCUCCUGCUAACUACGUGCCAGCAGCCGCGGUAAUACGUAGGGAGCGAGCGUUGUCCGGAAUUCCUGGGUGUAAAGGGAGCGUAGGCGGGACUGCAAGUUGGGUGUCAAAUCUACCGGCUCAACCGGUAGCCGCACUCAAAACUGCAGUUCGUGAGUGUAGUAGAGGCAGGCGGAAUGUCUAGUGUAGCGGUGAAAUGCGUAGAUAUUAGGAGGAACACCAGUGGCGAAGGCGGCCUGCUGGGCUUUUACUGACGCUGAGGCUCGAAAGUGUGGGGAGCAAACAGGAUUAGAUACCCUUGUAGUC
This 440-nucleotide ribosomal RNA is filed under the name uncultured bacterium. RNAcentral's name for it is "partial 16S ribosomal RNA". It matches the Rfam family "Bacterial small subunit ribosomal RNA", at positions 338 to 795 of the family's 1533-position model. The record is from RNAcentral.